Molecule: long non-coding RNA, 623 nt
Organism: Egretta garzetta (little egret)
Lineage: Eukaryota; Metazoa; Chordata; Aves; Pelecaniformes; Ardeidae
Exons: 5
Source: RefSeq, a predicted model, not a curated record
GGGAGGAGGAGGAGGAGGAAGAAGAAGGUGUGGCUGGAGCCUGGCAGACGACAAAAAGUGAAGUGAAAAAGAUUGCACGUCUUGGAAAAUGAAGGGUAAAUGGUGCUUAACGCAACGGCUGUCCAAGGAAAGCCGUGUGACAUGGCAGACUCAGGAGGUCUCCUCAAAGACCUGAGUUACCUUUGAGAACAGGGCUGAGUUCCAGAACUUGCUUCAAAUGUUGAAGAUCAUGCCUUGAGUUUUAGAAUUUCUAGACAACCUGGCUACAGCUGUGUCUGCAUCUGAAGAUUGCUAAAAGUUCAUCUUUUUUUUACACGUGGGUUCAAGCACGCUAUGGCCAGUGAAAGUGCACACGGUGCUGCUUGAGGUUCUGAAUGUUUGUGGCAACCUGUGUACACAGAUGUCAGUUUAAAAAAGAAAUUACAGUUCUGCUCCAAGUGUCCUUUCUGCUUUUGCUGUGUUCCUGUUGAAUUGCCUUAAGAGUUGUAAUCUUCUCCCGGCUCAUACGCUGUUUUCACAGCCAAAUCCUAAAGCAUUGCUCUUUCACUCCUUGUUUUCUCUACCUGGUUAAGAAGGAUUUAAAAAAAAAAACCCCACACUAAAUAAAGAUGCCGCCUACAAUA